CGUGGGUAACCUGCCCAAGAGAUCGGGAUAACACCUGGAAACAGAUGCUAAUACCGGAUAACAACAGAUGAUGCCUAUCAACUGUUUAAAAGAUGGUUCUGCUAUCACUCUUGGAUGGACCUGCGGUGCAUUAGCUAGUUAGUAGGGUAACGGCCUACCAAGGCGAUGAUGCAUAGCCGAGUUGGGAGACUGAUCGGCCACAUUGGGACUGAGACACGGCCCAAACUCCUACGGGAGGCAGCAGCG
This 246-nucleotide ribosomal RNA is filed under the name uncultured Lactobacillus sp. RNAcentral describes it as "partial 16S ribosomal RNA". It matches the Rfam family "Bacterial small subunit ribosomal RNA", at positions 116 to 356 of the family's 1533-position model. The record is from RNAcentral. Lineage: Bacteria; Bacillati; Bacillota; Bacilli; Lactobacillales; Lactobacillaceae.